This 464-nucleotide ribosomal RNA is filed under the name uncultured Geobacteraceae bacterium. Its description in RNAcentral is "partial 16S ribosomal RNA". It matches the Rfam family "Bacterial small subunit ribosomal RNA", at positions 338 to 794 of the family's 1533-position model. The record is from RNAcentral. Lineage: Bacteria; Pseudomonadati; Thermodesulfobacteriota; Desulfuromonadia; Geobacterales; Geobacteraceae.
CCUACGGGAGACAGCAGUGAGGAAUUUUGGGCAAUGGGGGCAACCCUGACGCAGCAACGCCGCGUGAGUGAUGAAGGCCUUCGGGUCGUAAAGCUCUGUCAGAGGGGAAGAAAUGCAGGUGGUGAACAACCAUUCUGUUUGACGGUACCCUCAAAGGAAGCACCGGCUAACUCCGUGCCAGCAGCCGCGGUAAUACGGAGGGUGCGAGCGUUGUUCGGAAUUAUUGGGCGUAAAGCGCGUGUAGGCGGUUUGUUAAGUCUGAGGUGAAAGCCCCGGGCUCAACCGGGGAAGUGCAUUGGAUACUGGCAGACGUGAGUACGGGAGAGGAGAGUGGAAUUCCCAGUGUAGGAGUGAAAUCCGUAGAUAUUGGGAGGAACACCGGUGGCGAAGGCGGCCCUCUGGACCGAUACUGACGCUGAGACGCGAAAGCGUGGGGAGCAAACGGGAUUAGAUCCCCUGGUAGU